This 629-nucleotide ribosomal RNA is filed under the name uncultured bacterium. RNAcentral's name for it is "bacterial SSU rRNA". It matches the Rfam family "Bacterial small subunit ribosomal RNA", at positions 232 to 863 of the family's 1533-position model. The record is from RNAcentral.
CGCGGCCUAUCAGCUUGUUGGCGGGGUAACGGCCCACCAAGGCUUAGACGGGUAGCUGGCGUGAGAGCGCGACCAGCCACACCGGGACUGAGACACGGCCCGGACUCCUACGGGAGGCAGCAGUAGGGAAUCUUGGACAAUGGGCGAAAGCCUGAUCCAGCGACGCCGCGUGGGGGACGAAGGCCCUCGGGUUGUAAACCCCUGUUGGGAGGAAAGAAGCCGGCCGCAAGGUUGGUGACGGUACCUCUCGAGGAAGCCCCGGCUAACUACGUGCCAGCAGCCGCGGUAAGACGUAGGGGGCGAGCGUUAUCCGGAUUCACUGGGCGUAAAGGGCGCGCAGGCGGCUACGUAAGUCCGGCGUGAAAUCCCAUGGCUUAACUGUGGAACUGCGUCGGAUACUGCGUUGGCUUGAGGAUGGUAGAGGCCAUUAGAACUAGCGGUGUAGCGGUGAAAUGCGCAGAUAUCGCUAGGAAUGCCGGUGGCGAAGGCGGAUGGCUGGGCCACUCCUGACGCUGAGGCGCGAAAGCUAGGGGAGCGAACCGGAUUAGAUACCCGGGUAGUCCUAGCCGUAAACGGUGGGUGCUAGGUGUGGGGAUCGCGAGAUUUCCGUGCCGCAGCUAACGCAUUUA